GUCCUCUUGAAAAUAAUUUGAGGUUUAACCUGCCCACUGAAAAAUUUUAACGGCCGCAGUAAUUUGACUGUGCAAAGGUAGCAUAAUCAUUAGUUUUUUAAUUAAAAGCUUGUAUGAAGGGUUGGACGAGGUAAAAUCUGUCUCUAUUUAAUUAAGAAUAGAAUUUAAUUUUUAAGUUAAAAAGCUUAAAUUUAUAUAAAAGACGAGAAGACCCUAUAGAUCUUUAUAUUAUUUAUUUUAAUUUUAAUAUAGAAUUAUUUAUUAAUUAAUAUAAAUAUUAUUUUAUUGGGGUAAUAAAAAGAUUUAAUAAAUUCUUUUAUAAUUUAUACAUUGAUUAAUGAAUAAAUGAUCCAAUUAUUUUGAUUAUAAGAUUAAGUUACCUUAGGGAUAACAGCGUAAUUUUUUUAGAGAGUUCUUAUCGAUAAAAAAGUUUGCGA
RNAcentral lists this ribosomal RNA (437 nucleotides) under Thermonectus nigrofasciatus. Its description in RNAcentral is "partial 16S ribosomal RNA". Lineage: Eukaryota; Metazoa; Arthropoda; Insecta; Coleoptera; Dytiscidae. The record is from RNAcentral.